Molecule: ribosomal RNA, 735 nt
Filed under: Bacillus cereus
Lineage: Bacteria; Bacillati; Bacillota; Bacilli; Caryophanales; Bacillaceae
Description: bacterial SSU rRNA
Rfam family: Bacterial small subunit ribosomal RNA
Source: RNAcentral
AGAGUUGAUCCUGGCUCAGGAUGAACGCUGGCGGGUGCCUAAUACAUGCAAGUCGAGCGAAUGGAUUAAGAGCUUGCUCUUAUGAAGUUAGCGGCGGACGGGUGAGUAACACGUGGGUAACCUGCCCAUAAGACUGGGAUAACUCCGGGAAACCGGGGCUAAUACCGGAUAACAUUUUGAACGCAUGGUUCGAAAUUGAAAGGCGGCUUCGGCUGUCACUUAUGGAUGGACCCGCGUCGCAUUAGCUAGUUGGUGAGGUAACGGCUCACCAAGGCAACGAUGCGUAGCCGACCUGAGAGGGUGAUCGGCCACACUGGGACUGAGACACGGCCCAGACUCCUACGGGAGGCAGCAGUAGGGAAUCUUCCGCAAUGGACGAAAGUCUGACGGAGCAACGCCGCGUGAGUGAUGAAGGCUUUCGGGUCGUAAAACUCUGUUGUUAGGGAAGAACAAGUGCUAGUUGAAUAAGCUGGCACCUUGACGGUACCUAACCAGAAAGCCACGGCUAACUACGUGCCAGCAGCCGCGGUAAUACGUAGGUGGCAAGCGUUAUCCGGAAUUAUUGGGCGUAAAGGCGCGCAGGUGGUUUCUUAAGUCUGAUGUGAAAGCCCACGGCUCAACCGUGGAGGGUCAUUGGAAACUGGGAGACUUGAGUGCAGAAGAGGAAAGUGGAAUCCAUGUGUAGCGGUAAAUGCGUAGAGAUAUGGAGGAACACCAGGCGAAGGGACUUCGUCU